Long non-coding RNA from Hipposideros armiger (great roundleaf bat), 1070 nucleotides. RefSeq lists it as uncharacterized. The record is from RefSeq and is a predicted model, not a curated record. Lineage: Eukaryota; Metazoa; Chordata; Mammalia; Chiroptera; Hipposideridae. The transcript is spliced from 4 exons.
UGCUGGACAGUGACAACAAUCAACCAGGGUCCUCUUUUUACGUCUGAGCACAAGACAUGCAAGAAAUAGAUACCCCCAUUGGAGUUGUACAAAAGCCAAGAGAACCAGAAAGAAGACAGCCGGCAGAGACUACGAGUAAACAAAAGUCAUGAAGUGGGGAGACAACAAGUCAGCAGUCAGAGCCACAGCCAAGUGAAGCCACAUCCUGAGAAUCGUGACAAUACUAGCACUUCUUUUUCCUGGCAUACCAUUUUCAUCGAUGUAGGCGAAACGUCUCUUUUUGUGUUGCUUCUUCCCAUUUUAACAUCUUGAAGUGUGUCUAACCAUCAAUGGUGUCUGAAUGAUUGCUUUUGGUGAGGCGGCCGUGGCUGACACUGCCUGCAGAUGCACAAGAGUGACACAGGAAACAAAAAUACCAAUGCCUGAGACCAGAAGUGUCAAAAGGAAUUUUGAAGUGAUAAGAAAGAAGCAUAUCAUAGGUUUCAUGGGGUUCUUUACCUCACCACGCAGCCGACCCCACGCUCGUUGUACCGAACCACCCUGGCCUCAUCUCUGUUCCUCGUUGUAGUGAGUUGAAUUGGUGUGAAAAGUUACUUCUCACGAGGUUCCCCGUCAUGAGUAGGACUGGACAUGGAAAGGCAGGUCCACCUGCCAGGAUCUCAGAAUGUGGCUUUCUUUGGAGCCAGGAUCUUUGUAGAUGUAAUGAAGGAAUUGAUUGGAGAGCCAGGUAAAAAAAAGUGCUCUGAAAACAUGUAAGAAAUUCAAGAACUGUCUACUCUCCUUCACUGACUGCCAUUCAACUGGGACUGGGAAUCUGAAUAUCUGCAUUUCUCAUCUGUGUCCAAGUCAGAAUGUCAAAGCAAGCCUCGUCUUGCUCAAGAGUCAAGGAGUGACAGCAGCUGGAAAUGAAAGCAUAACAGAAACUUGGACCGAUCACAGCCUCAAACCAGUACAUCUCCUUUCCACCCCAGAGCUGGGAACUGAAACUAUUCCAUAGGAAGUCCUUUCUUCCCACCUCUAUGCAAAAAUCCACAUCGAACCUGAUUCCUUUUUAAAUACCCAAAUAGUCA